CACUUGGACAGCUGUCCUCGUGCCCAACCCCAACCGACCUGGCAGCCCGAGGCUGAUCCUGAGGAGGAUCCCGGCACCAGCCCCCUCCAGCAGCUCCUUUCCGAGCUCCACACCCAGGUCUACUCCUACUACACCUGGUGGUUGCCCUUUUCGCUCUUCCUCUUGCUUCUCCUCUAAUAACUCUCCAAGAUUGUCUCCUAGCCCCUCUCCAGCCUCUCCUCCCAGCAGGCCACUGGCUGAUCAGAACAAGGUCACCCUUACGAAGCUGCCACUGGUGAGUUCCCCUGACAGACCUGAGGUACCCGGUAAGGUGAGUACAUGUCGCAGCCGUCUGAGUUCUCAGAACCCCACCAAGCCUCGUCUGAUGACAGCUGGCCCCCAGCCAAAGUGGGUAAGAAAUAUGCAGGCUAUUAUUAAGGAGAGAAACAGGCAGCGUGGCGUCAGGGGAGGUAAGAGAGCUGCUGGACCCCCAAAAGGUGAACCUGCAGCCAAGCGCUCAUUUCACUCGUAGAUAGUUUCAGUUUCUGCAGCAGAAAACAUAUUUUGCACUGGAUUCUGCUUGGUCGUAUUUUUCUUUGAUUCCAGGACAAAAAUUAAACAGAAGACCCCAGAGGACCCCAAAAGCAGACGAGACGAGGGACAUAUGAAGCGGUCGAUGCUGAACAGAUGAGAGAAGAGAUGAAAAACAGAUCCAGGAUCACAACAUGAGAUGAGCGACAGCCCGAAAUCUGUCCUCCAAGUUCUAAAAAUAUCCCAGAGGAAUCCAAGCAUGAGACGAGAGAUGAGGGAAACAUCCUAAAUAAGAGAAAAGAGAUGAGCGACAGCCCCUGGGUGACAAAAGAAAUGAGAAGCAGAUCCAGGAUCAGAACUUGAGAUGAACAACAACCUGACUAACAAAGCAAUCCAAAAUGGCCAAAAGAGACGAGAGGAGACGAGACGAGGACAAGCCCCAGGAUUUGAAACCUGGCCUAGAGAGACGAGGGAGCCAAAGUCGCAGAGACACGGAGGAGCAAAGUGAGGCACAGAGACCCGAGAAGUUGAAAAAAACAGAACAGAGAGGAGCCACAGGAUGACGGAAGAGAUGAGAAUCAGCCCCCAAAAGACCCGAGAUGAGGAACAGCACCAGAGUUCACCUCCCCAGCCCGAGCCCUCUCUCUCGUCCCCUCUCUCUCUCGCUCCCUCUGUCUCUCAACCCAACCGGUCAAGGCAGAUGGCCGCCCAUCUUGAGCCGGGGUCUGUUCCGAGGUUUCUGCCUUCAAAAAGGCAGUUUUUCCUCGCCACUGUUGCCAAGUGCUUGCUCAAGGGGGAAUGUUGGGUUCUCUAUAUUACAAAGCUUGUGUAAUACAGCCAGGAGAUAACUUUUUUUGUGAACUGGUGCUGUAAAAAUGAUCUGAAUUGAACCGAAGUGAAUUAAGCAGAUAACAAAGAGGAGCCCCAACGAGUGAAAUGGCUGACAAAGGACAAGAAGGAACAGCCAUGAGAAGAGAUGAGGACAUUGGAGUGCAUGCAGAGUACCAGCAGCUAGCAGAGGACCUCUGGUGCCUGAACUAAACGCGCUCCAUUUAAAGAUGCUGGGGACGAGCUGACAAGCAGAACAAUCGGCGCAGAGCCAACAGAAGAGGAGUUCAACAAUAUCUGACAUGAUUACACUGUGCAAAAAAAAACCCCCAAACAAGUCAAAUACAAAGUCAGAAUGAGAA
Long non-coding RNA from Scatophagus argus, 1700 nucleotides. RefSeq lists it as uncharacterized. Lineage: Eukaryota; Metazoa; Chordata; Actinopteri; Scatophagidae. The record is from RefSeq and is a predicted model, not a curated record. The transcript has 5 exons.